UACGGGAGGCAGCAGUGAGGAAUAUUGGACAAUGGGCGCAAGCCUGAUCCAGCCAUGCCGCGUGCAGGAUGACGGUCCUAUGGAUUGUAAACUGCUUUUGUACAGGAAGAAACACCUCUACGUGUAGAGACUUGACGGUACUGUAAGAAUAAGGAUCGGCUAACUCCGUGCCAGCAGCCGCGGUAAUAU
This 189-nucleotide ribosomal RNA is filed under the name uncultured Bacteroidota bacterium. RNAcentral's name for it is "uncultured Bacteroidetes bacterium partial 16S ribosomal RNA". It matches the Rfam family "Bacterial small subunit ribosomal RNA", at positions 340 to 526 of the family's 1533-position model. Lineage: Bacteria; Pseudomonadati; Bacteroidota. The record is from RNAcentral.